GGCGGGGUAGCCAAGUGGUAAGGCAGGGGACUGCAAAUCCCUUAUGCGCGGGUUCGAUCUCCCGCCCCCGCCU
RNAcentral lists this transfer RNA (73 nucleotides) under Persephonella sp. RNAcentral describes it as "tRNA-Cys". It matches the Rfam family "tRNA". From Rfam's summary of the family: Transfer RNA (tRNA) molecules are approximately 80 nucleotides in length. Their secondary structure includes four short double-helical elements and three loops (D, anti-codon, and T loops). Further hydrogen bonds mediate the characteristic L-shaped molecular structure. tRNAs have two regions of fundamental functional importance: the anti-codon, which is responsible for specific mRNA codon recognition, and the 3' end, to which the tRNAs corresponding amino acid is attached (by aminoacyl-tRNA synthetases). tRNAs cope with the degeneracy of the genetic code in two manners: having more than one tRNA (with a specific anti-codon) for a particular amino acid; and 'wobble' base-pairing, i.e. permitting non-standard base-pairing at the 3rd anti-codon position. The record is from RNAcentral. Lineage: Bacteria; Pseudomonadati; Aquificota; Aquificia; Aquificales; Hydrogenothermaceae.